RNAcentral lists this ribosomal RNA (443 nucleotides) under uncultured bacterium. RNAcentral's name for it is "partial 16S ribosomal RNA". It matches the Rfam family "Bacterial small subunit ribosomal RNA", at positions 338 to 795 of the family's 1533-position model. The record is from RNAcentral.
CCUACGGGGGGCAGCAGUGGGGAAUAUUGGGCAAUGGGCGCAAGCCUGACCCAGCAACGCCGCGUGAAGGAAGAAGGCUUUCGGGUUGUAAACUUCUUUUCUGAGGGACGAAGAAAGUGACGGUACCUCAGUAAUAAGCCACGGCUAACUACGUGCCAGCAGCCGCGGUAAUACGUAGGUGGCAAGCGUUAUCCGGAUUUAUUGGGUGUAAAGGGCGUGUAGGCGGGAAAGCAAGUCAGAUGUGAAAACUCAGGGCUCAACCCUGAGCCUGCAUUUGAUACUGUUUUUCUUGAGUGCUGGAGAGGCAAGCGGAAUUCCUAGUGUAGCGGUGAAAUGCGUAGAUAUUAGGAGGAACACCAGUGGCGAAGGCGGCUUACUGGACAGUAACUGACGUUGAGGCUCGAAAGCGUGGGGAGCAAACAGGAUUAGAUACCCCUGUAGUC